This 940-nucleotide long non-coding RNA is filed under the name Cyanistes caeruleus (blue tit). RNAcentral describes it as "lncRNA (ENSCCEG00000016036.1)". The record is from RNAcentral. Lineage: Eukaryota; Metazoa; Chordata; Aves; Passeriformes; Paridae.
AAUGGAGGAAACAAGCUAAACAAUUACUGUUCCCAGGAAAAAAAUGGCAAGACCAUGAUAAGGCACAAAGUGUGAACAAUGUAUGAAUUUUCUAAUGCACAGUAUAUUUGCCCUUUUUUAAACUUUUACUUUCAUUGCAAUGUUGGAGAAUUACUCUUGAUUUAGAUACGUGAGUUGUGCUGAAAUAUGGUAAUAAAAUUUGUUGUGGUAAUCAAUGAGUUUUAUAUAACACAUCAAUAUAGAUAACUUUCUCCUGGAGAAUCUUGUGUUUUAAGCACUAAUCAAAUUGCACUAAGAAUUGUAUGAUUUGCAGUUCUUUUUGGAGACUUCAUUCAUGACAAUGCUGAAGUAGUUUUACAAAGUGUCUUAAUUCUGUGUAGUUCUUAAAGCCAAGAUCCAAACCCUGCACCUAAAUAAAAUUCAAGGGAGAAAGCAAGGGUAGAAUGCUAAAAGAAAAAAAAAAAAAGUAGAUUACUUAAUUAGUAACACUUGAUUAAGAGUGAUUUUUUACCUAAAAAUUUGUUGUUUUCUUUUCCCCCUUCCUUUCUGUUUGUGUCCCAACUCCAAACAGUGCUGACAGUGAUGCUUCUUCAAAACUUUUCCUGAAACAGUCUGGAUUUUUUUAGCUGAAAUAUUUUAUUUGGUGACAGUUAUAUAAUGGGAACCCUGAACUCAGGAGUCUCCUAAACAGAGGCCCUGACAAGACCAUGACUUCUGUAAAACAGCCACUGCCAGAUUUCAGGUCCAUGCAAAUAAUGGCAGCAAGACCUCCUAGAUGAAGUAUUUUUCUUCUCACUCACAAGCUUGGUGUGUUGCAUAUGAAAAUCUACGAGGACCCAAAACCCCAGACUUUAUUUUUGGGCAGCUCCCCAUAGUUGUUGAUGCAGAAAUAAGGGAUUUUUCCAGAGUUUUUACAUCAGAAGUGUGGGACAGAAGAUAA